Molecule: ribosomal RNA, 508 nt
Filed under: uncultured bacterium
Lineage: Bacteria
Description: partial 16S ribosomal RNA
Rfam family: Bacterial small subunit ribosomal RNA
Source: RNAcentral
AUUGAACGCUGGCGGCAUGCCUUACACAUGCAAGUCGAACGGCAGCGGGGGAGAAGCUUGCUUUUCCUGCCGGCGAGUGGCGAACGGGUGAGUAAUACAUCGGAGCGUGCCCUGUAGUGGGGGAUAACUAGUCGAAAGAUUAGCUAAUACCGCAUACGACCUGAGGGUGAAAGUUGGGGCACGCAAGGCCUUAUUCUAUAGGAGCUGACGAUGUCUGAUUAGCUAGUUGGUGGGGUAAGGGCCUACCAAGGCGACGAUCAGUAGCUGGUCUGAGAGGACGAUCAGCCACACUGGGACGGAGACACGGCCCAGACUCCUACGGGAGGCAGCAGUGGGGAAUUUUGGACAAUGGGCGAAAGCCUGAUCCAGCAAUGCCGCGUGUGUGAAGAAGGCCUUCGGGUUGUAAAGCACUUUUGUCCGGAAAGAAAUGGCUCUGGUUAAUACCUGGGGUCGAUGACGGUACCGGAAGAAUAAGGGCCGGCUAACUACGUGCCAGCCGCCGCCGUAA